UCGUUAGCUCAGUCGGUAGAGCAGUUGACUCUUAAUCAAUUGGUCGGCGGUUCGAACCCGCC
Molecule: transfer RNA, 62 nt
Filed under: Rahnella variigena
Lineage: Bacteria; Pseudomonadati; Pseudomonadota; Gammaproteobacteria; Enterobacterales; Yersiniaceae
Also listed under: 1 other name
Rfam family: tRNA
About the family: Transfer RNA (tRNA) molecules are approximately 80 nucleotides in length.
Source: RNAcentral